This 576-nucleotide ribosomal RNA is filed under the name Triticum aestivum (bread wheat). RNAcentral's name for it is "partial small subunit ribosomal RNA". Lineage: Eukaryota; Viridiplantae; Streptophyta; Magnoliopsida; Poales; Poaceae. The record is from RNAcentral.
AUGGUGAAGCACAUGCACCAAAAAUAUGAGGCUGCCACUGCUGAACUGGAAUCCCAAUUAAAUGAUGCCAAGACCCGGCUGGCGACUCAGGAAACUGAGACCCGGAAGGCUGAGUCGAAAUUCCAAUUUAGUGUGGCUGAGUCAGAAAAACUGAAGACCGGCUAUGAAGCAGAGAAAAAGACUUGGGCGGAUGAAAAGACGGCUUUGACCCAACGUGCUGAGAAGGCCGAGGCAACGCUUCAAGAAGUAACCACUGAGCUUUCCGGUUUAAAAAACCGUGUGAAUCAGAUGGUUUCAGCUAUCUUUGGUCCCAGGAGCAGCAAUCUCAAUCAAGACAUGCUGAUGAAACUGAAAGCUGUCUACACACUUGUUGAGAAGCUGUACACCGGGACUCAACGCACAUUAGCCGCUAUUUCACCAACAGGUCAAGUACCAACUUUGUUGAUAGAUGUUUUGAAGAAACUCUCUGUGCUGCCUAUAAGACUUGAAGAGAUAAAGCGAUCAGCUGCCAGAGCCGGCGCUGUGACGGCUUUAAGCUGGUCCAAGGCAUGGGUACCAGAGCUUGACCCGUCUUAG